GACGAACGCUGGCGGCGUGCUUAACACAUGCAAGUCGAACGGAAAGGCCCUGCUUUUGUGGGGUGCUCGAGUGGCGAACGGGUGAGUAACACGUGAGUAACCUGCCCUUGACUUUGGGAUAACUUCAGGAAACUGGGGCUAAUACCGGAUAGGAGCUCCUGCUGCAUGGUGGGGGUUGGAAAGUUUCGGCGGUUGGGGAUGGACUCGCGGCUUAUCAGCUUGUUGGUGGGGUAGUGGCUUACCAAGGCUUUGACGGGUAGCCGGCCUGAGAGGGUGAACGGGCACAUUGGGGCUGGGGUACGGCCCAGACUCCUACGGGGGGCAACAGGGGGGAAUUUUGCACAAUGGGGCGGAGCCUGAUGCAGCAACGCCGCGUGCGGGAUGACGGCCUUCGGGUUGUAAACCGCUUUCGCCUGUGACGAAGCGUGAGUGACGGUAAUGGGUAAAGAAGCACCGGCUAACUACGUG
This 468-nucleotide ribosomal RNA is filed under the name uncultured bacterium. RNAcentral describes it as "partial 16S ribosomal RNA". It matches the Rfam family "Bacterial small subunit ribosomal RNA", at positions 28 to 507 of the family's 1533-position model. The record is from RNAcentral.